UACGUAGGGGGCAAGCGUUGUCCGGAAUCAUUGGGCGUAAAGAGCUCGUAGGCGGUGUGUCACGUCGGCCGUGAAAACCUGCAGCUUAACUGUGGGCGUGCGGUCGAUACGGGCAUCACUGGAGUUCGGCAGGGGAGACUGGAAUUCCUGGUGUAGCGGUGAAAUGCGCAGAUAUCAGGAGGAACACCGGUGGCGAAGGCGGGUCUCUGGGCCGAUACUGACGCUGAGGAGCGAAAGCGUGGGGAGCAAACAGG
RNAcentral lists this ribosomal RNA (254 nucleotides) under uncultured bacterium. Its description in RNAcentral is "partial 16S ribosomal RNA". It matches the Rfam family "Bacterial small subunit ribosomal RNA", at positions 524 to 776 of the family's 1533-position model. The record is from RNAcentral.